This 253-nucleotide ribosomal RNA is filed under the name uncultured bacterium. Its description in RNAcentral is "partial 16S ribosomal RNA". It matches the Rfam family "Bacterial small subunit ribosomal RNA", at positions 524 to 776 of the family's 1533-position model. The record is from RNAcentral.
UACGAAGGGGGCUAGCGUUGUUCGGAUUUACUGGGCGUAAAGCGCACGUAGGCGGAUCGUUAAGUCGGGGGUGAAAUCCUGGAGCUCAACUCCAGAACUGCCUUCGAUACUGGCGAUCUCGAGUCCGGAAGAGGUGAGUGGAACUCCUAGUGUAGAGGUGGAAUUCGUAGAUAUUAGGAGGAACACCAGUGGCGAAGGCGGCUCACUGGUCCGGUACUGACGCUGAGGUGCGAAAGCGUGGGGAGCAAACAGG